AUUGAACGCUGGCGGCAUACUUUACACAUGCAAGUCGAACGGUAACAGGCCUUCGGGUGCUGACGAGUGGCGAACGGGUGAGUAAUGCAUCGGAACGUACCCAGAGGUGGGGGAUAACGCAGCGAAAGCUGUGCUAAUACCGCAUGUGAUCUGAGGAUGAAAGCGGGGGACCGAGCAGCAAUGUUUGGCCUCGCGCCUUUGGAGCGGCCGAUGUCGGAUUAGCUAGUUGGUGGGGUAAAGGCCUACCAAGGCGACGAUCCGUAGCUGGUCUGAGAGGACGACCAGCCACACUGGGACUGAGACACGGCCCAGACUCCUACGGGAGGCAGCAGUGGGGAAUUUUGGACAAUGGGCGCAAGACUGAUCCAGCAAUGCCGCGUGCGGGAAGAAGGCCUUCGGGUUGUAAACCGCUUUUGGCAGGAACGAAACGGUGUCCGCUAAUACCGGGCGCUAAUGACGGUACCUGCAGAAUAAGCACCGGCUAACUACGUG
Molecule: ribosomal RNA, 492 nt
Filed under: uncultured bacterium
Lineage: Bacteria
Description: partial 16S ribosomal RNA
Rfam family: Bacterial small subunit ribosomal RNA
Source: RNAcentral